This is a long non-coding RNA of Corvus hawaiiensis (hawaiian crow), 7592 nucleotides long. RefSeq lists it as uncharacterized. The transcript has 2 exons. NCBI's taxonomy places the organism in Eukaryota, Metazoa, Chordata, Aves, Passeriformes, Corvidae. The record is from RefSeq and is a predicted model, not a curated record.
AUUUUAGGGUUUGAGUCACAGAUCAGUGAGUAUACUUGGUUUGUGUCUUUGGUUUCAAGAUCUGUCAAUGUAUAGUUUUAUUCAAGUCUGUUUAGGAUAAAGGAAUGAGAUCCUAUACUUUGAAGACUAAGAAUUUGUGAAGUUAAAACAUGAGAGAGAAUUCUUCAUUACCUCUAAUUUAUAAAAAUAUCAUCCAGAAAGUACAGAAGUGAACCAUACAAAAAUAAAUUUAAUUGUAUUUCUUUACACUGUUUAAAAAAGAAAAAUAUGAAUUACACUCUCCUAAUGUUUUCUAGAAAAACUAGGAGCUAACACUGAGCUUUCAGUUGCGAGGGAGAAACACACCAAGAUUUCAUAUAGUGUUUCAUUGGAAUUUCCUGAAGCAAAAACCUGAUCUCGGGGAUUAAAUUCAUUAGAGCAUCUUGUUUAAGAAGCCACGUUUUAGAAAGUUAGCAUGUAUGUUAAACCUCUUAAGUUUUCAUUUGUCUAACCCAAAGACUUAAUAUCCACUUUUCAAAGAUGUGAUCUGUUUUUGCCCAGGUUUUGGAGCCAUUACUUUGGAGGAGUGCAAUUCUUGUAGUGCUUUGAUUGGAAUCAGUCGGAGUACUGAAACAAAUGUGACCUAUGUAGAUAGUGCUUUGAUUUCCUGAAUAUCUUGGGUGUCUUCAGGUGAAGGAAAAGGAAGAAGAGAAUAAAAACUUGAGAUAGGUAAGUUUAGUUGAAGGCUACAUAUCAGAGUGAAGCGGAAAACACUGAAGGAGUGUAUUUACUGCUUGUAGGGGAAAAACAACUCAUGACUUACUUAAAUCAAGUUAGAAUUGAAGUGAUUUGUUGAUUUAUUGAUAGUUUGUAAUUAACUGUUAGUCCAUGAACUAUACGUGCAGGAUUAAUGGCAGCAAUAUAACAGAUAAAUGACUACUAUACCCUUUACAAAACCUUAAUAAACACCUUCACAUGCCUAAACACACUCCUGUAGCACCCCCCCCACCCCCCGAAAUUUGCAGGUAAAUGCUCACCCCUGUCCCUUUAACAGGAGGUUUCAGUGGUAUGAGCCCACCCUUUUCAGAGUAUGUUAUCCUGUGUGCAUCCAUCAUCUUAGGAGAUGUGGAUGCUGUAGCUGCAUUCUUGCCUGGGCUGUUCCUAUCACCCAUGAGUCCACCCAGCUGUUGGGGCAGGACCCCCAAGGUGACCCCCCCAGGAGUGACCUGUGCUUGUUGCACCCUGUGCUCUCAGCCCACGGCCAGGGGAGGGUGUUCUCUCAGGCCUCCACAGAACUUGAGGUGCCAGGGGCAGCUUCUUGGUAUCAGACCAGGUUUUCACUGCUUUUUUCUCCCUGUUAGGAAAUGUUAGGGCUUUUUAUAUUUGAUUUUUAAGCUGAUUCUUCUUUCCCACCUGAGGUCUCUUGGUAACUGCCUGAUUACUAUUUCAUGUGGUUGAUGGUUAUCUUCAUUUUCAGACAAUCUCAGCGAAUUUGGAGCAAACACCCUCUCAGUACUGGACGUUUUGUUCACACACAUAGCACUUCUAUUUCUAUCAUAGCAGCUGAUGUCCAGGAUUUUCUGCCACAUUGUACUCCAUGUAGGUUUCCCCCAUUACUUGGAGCUGUUUCCUGGAAUACAAGAAUUGUUUCUGAAAUUCUAAAAGAAUAGCUGAGCUGGAGCUACUGCCAAGAGGUUUUGUUAAUCACAUCUCAAACAAAGCAUUCCUCAGAUGAUUUUGCCUCCGGGAUUCAACUUCGAAGGCAUUCUCAGGGGGAGCUGCGGUGCUGUCACAGCACUGUUGAGUCAACAGACGUAGAGCACUUGUUUGAUGCAUGGAUGACUGAUCUUCGAUUACCACCUUUCACAAAACAAACGAAAACAUCUGUUCUUUUAUUUAUAUGUGAGCUUUCCAAGUAGGAGUGUACAAUUUUCUUUUGUUUAUUUUUGUUGUGUGUGUUCUUUUUCCCUCCUGACUCACUGAAUCUUCAUUGUAUGGGAAGUGAAACUUUGAGCACUGAAUGGGUUGGGUGAUUGCAUCUCUAUUCAGGAUGUUUUACAGCAUGGUAGUUGGUAUUUUUUGGUACCUAAAAGUUUAUUAUCCCUUAGAAGAUAGCUAAGCACAGAGUUUUAAAUUAAAUUCUAUCCCCAAGAUAUGGCAUUAAGAUAAUGGUAUAAUUAUUUAUUAGCCUAUGUUUGGAGCAGACUUAGUUGUUCUGCUUUGGGAAGGAAUUCUGGUUUAUGAACCCAAAGGCUUCCGAAAUGUUUCCCUGCAGAGAGUUAGUAAAUCUUCACAAAUACAAAAUUACUCAGUCCCUGCUCUCCUUUCUGGCAUUUUCUGCUGGGCAGCUUGGCUUUGUUAUACUGGCUCUCCUAGAUCUCUGAAUAGUUGCAUAGAGACUGUGCAUAAUUUUAGAAGUCUUGAGAAUUGAAAUCAGAGCCCCUUAGCUGUAAAAAGGAUCUGAGAGUUAGACCACAGAAUGGCUUGGGUUGGAAGGGGCCUUAAAGCUCAUUUAGUUCAACCCCCCUGCCGUGGGGAGGGACACCUUCCACUAGAGCACCACCCUGAGUGCUGCAGCAAUACAAAUGCUUCUGUGCACCUACUUGUUCAGGCUCUGUUUUUGAGUAUUGCUGAAUAACUCCAUUUAACUGUACUGUAAAUAUUAUUUGUUUUCAAGCAGUUAACCAUCUUGAAAACACAUCAACAUGACUUAGUAAGUAUAACACUUGAUGAAUUUACAAAUGAAUCUUGGCAUAAGGCAAAUGCAUUUUAACACUAUGGUUUGUAUGCAUGCUCCCUGCAUAUUUAUUUUCAACUUCCAGUUGAUUAGCUGCUUUGUCUUGUGUGCAGAAAUGGCCUGUUUAAUGCAGUAGGAAGUCGAGUAGAAGCCAGCAUUUGUUAAUAGAUGCUUUGAACAGGCACAGUCAGACAUUUUAAAUUAUUCUAACUAAGCAGGAAUUCUAAUUUAUUUCUAAAGAUAGAAGUACAACAACCCAAUUACCUAGUUUCCUCACAGAGUGUAAUGAGUACAAUUAGCAUAAAAUUGGUCUAUAAAUUUAAUGGGCAAUUUCUUGUGUGGACAUUGAAAACACUAGUAGAAAUGUGGCAAGCUAUAUUAGAGUCCAUAUAGUAACUUGCUCCCAUUGGAUGCUUCCUUGACAGAAGGCAUUACUGUAAAAUAUCAAUCAAAUCUGUUCAGUACAAGGAGUUUCUAAAGUAUUGGUUCCAACAGGCAUGCCAAUAGGCUUAAAAGUUCCUUCAAUAAGAGAAUUUUGUUGGCUGGGUUGGCAGUAGGGUUUUUUACCUUUUAAAGAUGGUAUUCUGACUACAAAUUCAAACUUGUAGUAUAUGUGAGGUUGUGGCCAGUUCUGUGUGUGUAGCCUCAUAGGAACAGCUGGAUCAGUUGUUCUAAAUGCAGAAUAUUCACACAGCUGAUAAUAAAGAUAAUAAAAUAAUAUUUAAUACUCUUGAAAGUGAAAGGGGUGCUGGAGUCUUGCAGCUGAUGCAGAGGUUCUCAAAUCAUGAUUCUGGCUGGUGCCAGCACUUGUGCAGUUGGUUGGAUGUAACCAGCUGUGGGCCAUUUCAGAAGUUCUAGAUGAUGGAACCCAAAGGAUAAUUUUGCCUCCCUUCUACAGCUGAUUUGUUUGUCAUGGGAAGUUUCUAUGUGAAUGUAUUUUCAUCUAGUAUAGUAAACUGAGACAUAGAAUAAGUUGCGGUGACCUGCUGAGACUAAAGUGGUGAAAAUUAAUGCUGAGAGAGAACACAUACUUAGAAGAACACGAAGUUUCUUCUGCUUUGUCUGUUCCCUAGAGAAUGAAUAAACAAACAAAAAACCCAACCUUGAGGUUUGAAGAUUCAGACCAAGUUCUUCAAAGUAUAUUUUCAUGAUGGAUUUUUGAUUUCACCCUAGUGCAAGCUGACAUUACUGGAAGGAGAGAGAAAUGUAAAAGACUUUUCUCUAAAACAAACUUACCAAUCAUGAAAAUGCUUUAAUUCCUUCAGGAGUGCAUCCGUUUUAAAGGUACUUUUAUUGCACUAUGCUGUUAAGUACAAUGAAUAAAAGUAUAGCUGUGACUGUGAAAAUAGCAAGUUAUUUCUUGUGCAUUACAACAGCAACUCUCUUAGGGAUUUAUGCCCUACCACGCUUUUCCCUGUCUGAUAAUUUCAUACAGCGCACUUGCCUGCCUUCCUCUUUUGCCUUACCACUGAGCAAAUGAAAUAGUGUGGAGGUUCUGGGCUGCUCUGGAGAGCUGGUGGGCCACUGUGUGUACUCUGUGACUAGCAGCCUGCCAAAAAAAAAAACAGGCAGUGUGGUCAAUUUACUUGGUUGUAGGGCCAUUAAAAGAUGUAUCUUUACAUUUCUAGGAUUUAACUCAGAGCAAUGUAAAUUAUUUUAUUAAAAUAUAUUAACACAUAAUUAACAAUUCUGUUCCAGGUUAAACCCAAAGAAUGUUAAUCCUAUGGGAUUUCUAACUUUGGUUUAUUCAAUAAAUAGUAUUUUAAAGUAGGUAUGAAAAAAAUGGGGUUUUUUUAAGUUCCUGAACUCAAUGGGAACCCCACAGCAAGGGGAGAAAAGCAUGGAGCAGUCCAUUUCUGGGCUCCCUCAAACUGAGCUGUACGCUGCUAAAAUAGAUGUUCUUAUGGAGGAGAAGUGUUCUUAGGUCUUUUGUUCAGAGAGAGUCACAGAAAAGAUAGGUCAAAGUUUUAAAUAAAUCUCUUGGGAGAGUGUAUUCAUAUCUUACCUGGUAAAUCAGUGCAUCUCUCUUCACUAGUAGCUGAAGAUUAAAGACCUGUUUCUCUGAUAAGAGUGUUUUGGCAGUAGAACUAAUAAGUAAAGUAUUUUGUCAGUCUGUGUAGGAAUUUGGGUGGUUUUGACUUGGUAUGUGAGAACCACCUCACUUAAUCCUGAUUAUGGGAAUAAAGUUAUUCACAGGUAGUGCAGGAAGGGGCUGAUUUUUGUGGCUGUGCUCACAUGGGUAGCUGCUCCUGAGCCCCAGCAGUGUUUCAGGGCUGCCCUUACUUCUGGAGGCAAAAAAAUUUUUAAAAAAAUUUGAAAGUUCCCAUCUCUGGAAAUAUGGUCAAGCUGAAUGGGAUUCUGAGCAACCUGAUCUAGUUGAAGGUGUCCCUGCUCAUUGCAGGGAGGUUGGACUAGAUGGCCUUUAAAAGGCCUUUAAACCCAAACCUGUGAUUCUGCGAUCUUACUAAAGUGGAAAUUAUAAUGUAUUUCUCCCAUAAAAUGCUUUGUGAUUAACAAAAUAGAACUAAAUGUAAGCACAAAGCAAACCCCUGUUUCCCAGGAAGUUUCAGAAGUUAAAAAUAUACGUAUGGGUAAAUUUGGAAGUUAUCUGCAAGGUCAGGUAAGUAGAGCAACACUAUUGCUUGUAAAAAUAAUUGUGUUGAUUUUUCUCUUCUGUGAAUUUUUUUCAGCACAGGCUUUUACCGUCUAUUGGAAGCAGAACACUUGUGCUCUGAAAUGAAUAAUUAGCUGUUGAAGUAGGUCUGUACUGUGUCAGUACUGUCUUCCACUUGCCUGCUCUUAUGUAACAGAAAUUAAAACUAAAAUGGGGAAAAGUUACUAAAUCCUAUACAGAGGUUUAACUUUUAAGAAUGGGAUUGUAAUGUUAGGAAGAUGCUGCUUGGGAAAGACACCUUUCCAACUAGUGUUCUCCUAGUAAUCAUGUUUUCAGCAGUGUUCUUGAAGAACUGAAUUUCUGAGCAUACUUCAUUUUAAAAAAUGAUAGUAAUUAAAACUCUAAUAUGGUGCCAUUAACUGACUAUUUUUGUGGAAUGGUACCAUGAGAAGCAAAUCACUUAGCAGUAAUGAGGACAUUAAAUUCAGCAUGCUAUGAACCAUGUAUGGUUUGUAUUUUAGUAAAACAUGCACAUUUCAUUUUUCAUAAUGUAUUUUGCAUAAAUGCUGAAUGUAAUUACUCUUUUUUGUCUAUAUUUGCAGCUAUUGUCACUUGUAUUAAGCUGUUUUGCAACUUCUCCAGCUCUGUGGAAUACAACUAACUGUAUGUUGCUGUCUAUAAUCAACUGUUUUAUUAAAAGGCAUAGUUAUUUAUUUAAAAAAUUAUUUAAAUCCCUGUUCUGGUAAAGUUUACUCAGCAACACAAUAUAAACUGACCACAGGAGAAUGAAGUCUAUGAUGGAAAGGAAAUGUAAUUUGCAAAGGUACAGCUCUAAUAGAGGAAUGUGUGUGAUAGCCAUGAAGACCUGCCUCUUUCACUGAGAACUGGAAUAGUGAAGACAAGGGAAGGAAACUGAAGAAAGAAAGAUAGCUUAUAACCUAAAUAUUUAAAUUCACACUCAAAACUAAUGAGAGACAUAUUACCAGCUCAAGAUUUUAAAAAGUAAAGUAUCAUAUUUUUCAUUAACUUUCUGUAAUAAUUUAGAUUGCAUGUAUGUUUUUCCAUUUCACCUUUUCAUGCCCUGCCUUCCCCUUUAUAUACUGUAGACAACUCUGCUAGUUUUUCAUUUCCAAGCUCGGUUACUCAGAGGUACUCAAUUACGUAUCACAAUGGUGUCUUUCUUUCCAUUUCCUGAAUGACAGAGUGCGUGUCAUUUCUGCAUUGAUUCAUAUGUUAGGUUGCCACAAAUGCUUAGGCUUUAAGACCUUGACAUUAAUUCCUUCUUCACAGCCAUUUAUGUCAGGAAAACUCAAUUGUUUGAGCACUCCUGGAAAGUAAAUGCAAGAAGUGCCCAGAUAUCAUUAGAUCAAAUUCACUGAAAAAUAUAAGAAGGGAAGGGGUACAAAGUGAAGAUAUAUGGCUGCAGAUCUCGAGUGUGGUUAGACAUGGAGAUAAGCCUUGUAGCCUGCUUGAGCUCAGGUAUUUUUAUUGCUUCUGCAGAAAUUAGUUGCAUGUAUAAUCUGACAGCAGGUCACACAGCAGUUUGGCUGGACCAGGUCUGGAACUUUGACGUCCAGAUUGCCAAGUUACUGCAGUUGUUGUUUUCCUUUGCUGCAGGCAUUUGUUAGCAUUUUUAAAAGCUGCUCUGAAAGGGAGCAAAGGGUAUAGCUACAAACAGUGAAACUGUGGCCAAUAUGUAAAUAUGUUCUAAGUGGUCCAAGAUCGUUGCAGGGAUGGAAGUUUAGGCUCCUGAGGGAGCCUCUGCAAAGGAAAGGCAGAAGGCACAAAGCAUUGAGGAACGAAUCUUAAUUGUACUUUCUGUCUGCUCCUUGUUGCUCAGGCUCUGAAGUGCCAAGGUUGCUAAGUGGCUUGAAUGUUUCUGAGAUGGGUUUUUUUUCCCCCCAAGUGGAAUAAAAGCAGUUCAGAGCAGCACAUUUGUUAUAGUUCUGUGUUCAGUUGGAACAUAGAAGGACUUCUGAGGGCAAAACCCUUGUUUUGGAACCUGACUCAAGAAAGCAUUUUUGCUUGCUCUUCUUGUUACCAAAAAUAAAAAGCAUUACUAAGCUAAGUGUUUGCAGCUUUGCCAGGGAAGCUGUAUUGCUUCCAUGUGAUUGCACAGAGUAUUGACAGAGAACACUAGGAAAAGGACUUGGAAACAUGGGGCCUUUGGAGAGGAGAGCUCAGAGGGCACCACAGGCUAGGCUAAAGCCUGAGAUACCAGUUCACAUAAGAGUCAGAGACUUUCAAAUCUGAAAAUGAAAA